This is a long non-coding RNA of Zophobas morio, 552 nucleotides long. RefSeq lists it as uncharacterized. The record is from RefSeq and is a predicted model, not a curated record. NCBI's taxonomy places the organism in Eukaryota, Metazoa, Arthropoda, Insecta, Coleoptera, Tenebrionidae. The transcript has 3 exons.
UCAGAUAUAUUUGACCCCAACUCGAUUUGUAAAGUUCUCAAAUUCUGGGCUACUAAAAAGAAGUCUAAUGUUUAUCAGGCCAUUCUACAGAAUCUUGGCUAUCAGAUGAUAUUUCAAGUAAUGAACUGUUUUCCUCCGCAUAUACAGUCUUUCGUUGUGAUCGUCGUUUUGGUCGAGUAAAUCGAACACGUGGUGGUGGAGUUGUUGUUGCAAUAAAAAACUCUUUUUCAGAACAGGGAAGAUAUCCACCAAGAGGAAUGAAUAUUAUGGUUCUCUUGCAAAAGUAUGAUGUUCAACUACUCGAAGAUAGAAGACGGUUGGCAGCAGUUAAAUUUAUAGUUAACAUCGUUCAAGGAAAAGCUGAUGUGCCAGCCAUUUUAUCAAAACUUUCUUUUGCAGUUCCGAGGCUGAACUCAAGGCAGCAUAUAACUUUCAGGAUUUCUACUUUCAGGACAAAUUUAGGAGUAAAUUCACCAAUCAACGUAAUGACAAAACUAAUAAAUGGAGUUAGCAAUGUUUGCGAUGUCAAUUAUGAUGGAAUUAAGAAAAUAC